Long non-coding RNA from Mobula hypostoma (lesser devil ray), 2430 nucleotides. RefSeq lists it as uncharacterized. NCBI's taxonomy places the organism in Eukaryota, Metazoa, Chordata, Chondrichthyes, Myliobatiformes, Myliobatidae. The record is from RefSeq and is a predicted model, not a curated record. The transcript has 3 exons.
AAUGAACUAUCGCCUGACUGCCGAGAAAACUGUUGUGUAAAAUACUUGAAGAUAGCAUAGUUUCAAAAAAAUUAGAGGGGAGGGGGUGGCGACGGCCACAGCGCAUGGCAAAUCACAUUAAACCCGAUUUCCUAUUUCUGGAAAUCAUAUAUUUGUGUUUAUAAAGGAGACGCACCUAUAGCAGAAAUGUAUGUCAGUUAACUCCAGAUUUCCACUUUCGUAAUUUUUCGUCUAUAUAUAAAGUCCGAGAUACCCGCCAAACGGUGCGGUGCAUGCAACGAUGGAGACCAACAGGAACAUUACACCAACACUCGCUCUGGGGACUUUACACACGCAGGAGAGCCGCGGACUCCAUAGCAACCGGAUUGAGGCGCUGUCCAUUGACUAUAUUUGUAUAAAUAAAGGCAACCAUCAAACUUUACAAUUGCUUUAUUCAGAUUCCCAAAUAUUACGAUGUUUGAUGCUUUUUGUAAGUUUUGACUUUGAAUUCAGUGAAGACUGGUGAUCUCAGCACAGACCAAAGGAACACUUCAGAUAGUCAUAAGAUCUAACCCUGUAAAACCUAGAUCUUUGGACUCAAACUAAAAAAUUAGAAUUACUAAUCUCGAUUUGUUUUCAAUUUUGCUUAUUUUAUGUGUGACUAUUCACUCUUUGAACAUUUUGAUAUAUUUAUGUUUAAUAUCUGUUCAACUUUAACUGAUAAAGCCCGCUUAUCUUCUUUUUGUUUAACACGAGGGAAUUGAAUACGCAUUUCUAACAAUAACCAAUUACAUGAUUUUUACUGUGAUGUAUACAGUGGAAGAGGUACAAUUAAAAUCUAUCCGGACAUGUGGCCUUUAUCAAUAACAUGUUUUAUAAAAGGCUAACUCAAAAGUUUUAGCUGCGUCCCUGAGGUACUCUUGGUAAGGCAUAUGACCAUUGCAGUAAACCAUCGUAUGCUGUCCAAACCUUUGGAAAUCUUUUCCUGAAAUAUUAUUGUGAUAUAUUCUUCAUGAAAAGUUACAGAUCGUGAAACGUGAGUUGAAUAAGAAAGCAAUAAAACGUGGUACAGUACUCUUGCGGUGUACGUGCAGUUUAAAUGUGCAGGACUUCAAAUAUAGCAUUUCGAGUUAUCCGGAAAAUGUAAGAACCCAAGAUUCCUGACUGUAUUUUGGAAAAUUCCACCAUUUAACGCCUUUGUUACAAGGUGUUGCAAUCGAUUUAGAAAUGACGACAGUAUUUCAGUCAUUUUAAAAUGAUGGGGUCUUGGUCGCCAAGCAUGUGCAAAAACAUAUAAAUAAUAUGCUGACUUAGUUAAACAUAAUACGAUAGACAACGACCAAAGGGAUUUUUUUGUACACAUCACUGCCACUGCCACCUUGUCUGUUUCAAGAGGAUCGCGCUUCUAAAUGGCGGAUGAAACGGCAUACUAAUAUGGAGCUGUCCUCGGGUUCUGGUGCUGAAAAUCAAAUCCUCGAGAGACGGUCAUCUGACAGAUCAUAAACCAACAUUUACCGAGCAGUAAUCUAAUAGUUUUGCUGCUUCAGCCUUUCAUUUGCUACAGCACAACUGGUAGUGUUAUUCCCUUCGUAACGAUUAACCAACCUAGAGAAGUUUGCCACUAUUAGUUGCCAUUUGGUUUACAUUUUUGCACAGACUCAGAUCCAUUAAGAUUGACCAUUUGGAUUAAUUUUGUUGUCUUUCUAAGGAAUUAUUAUUACCGCAAUUAUCUCAGUUCAGUUUAUUAUAAAAGUGUUCAAUUGUCUGUUUGAGAGAUGAAUAUUAUAUCUGACUAUCGCCAAGCUAGCUUCCUAUCUGAAAAAAACGUAAUAUUCAAAUUUUGAUUAGCUGUCUUUUGGAUUAUUUUCCAGUUUUGGGCUGAGUAAUUUCCCAACGGCAUUUAUUGACGGACGAGGAUAAAAAUGUGAACCACCAGGGAAAUGUAACCUCCGCUACCAGAAACUGUUGUUGCUCUGGUUUUAAGUAUCCUGGAUGCCGAUUAUCCACAAAUAGCCACAUUAGUGUAACUAAAUCGUAGACAUUCUUCUUGGAAGAGCCCAGUACUUCGUUUGUCGGGGGAACUGAGGAACUUCCGAAAAGGUAGCAUUUAUUCCAAUCAUAUCAACAUGAUGAUUGGUUUCAAACCCAAUGGAGUACAGAGGAAUACUUGGAGAAAAAGAAAAGCCUUGACGAACUACUCUAGGUGGAGGUGUAGUGGAAGUUUUGACGUAUGAAGGCAAAGCAUCUUCCCACUCCAGACCCCUCACUGAAAAAUGAUCAUCCGCUCAAGUAGAAACCAGGACCAAUUGCAUCAGAUCUGGCAAAAGCAGCACACCAAGAAAAAUACAAGAAAGCUGGCCAUAAAGCACCCCAACACGAAGAUACAAAGGAAGAAAUCUCUUUACUCCUCCAACACUAGCUAGAUUCAGUCCCAUCUCAAAAGAAAUCUAU